Long non-coding RNA from Gadus chalcogrammus (walleye pollock), 505 nucleotides. RefSeq lists it as uncharacterized. Lineage: Eukaryota; Metazoa; Chordata; Actinopteri; Gadiformes; Gadidae. The transcript is spliced from 3 exons. The record is from RefSeq and is a predicted model, not a curated record.
UGCAUGUUCCUGUGUCUCAGUGUGUUCAACACAGCAGUCUGCAGUCCUGCUGGAACGCCCGCGACCCGUACUGCGGCUGGUGUGGAGCUCUGAGACGAUGCAGCUUUGAGGACGAGUGUCCAUCUUCUCUGUGGCUGUCCGUCCCAGAUGACCUCAGCCAGCGGCGGAUACUCUCCCACAGCUUCCAGGAAGACGCAGAAGGAAAGAUCAGGCUGGUGGUCUUCACCCACCUGAAGAGAGGUGGAGCUCCUGCUAACUUCUCCUGCCGAUUCGACUCAAGCGUCGGAGUACUAGGAGGACUAGGGCAUCGAUACCCAGAAUGCACCUGCCUGCUGCCUCCUGUGAUUGGUCAGUAAUCUACCCUCUCACAGUAUGAAAAACACAGGUACAACAUAAAUUAUGCGUCCCAUCGAAUUAGGGUUGUGAUGCAUGACUUCAUUUUUAUGUUACUUUAUCACCAACUUCUGAAAAUGUGCUGUGCGACUUCCAGGGGCCUACUUUAAAU